CCGCUCCGCUCCCUCGCCUUCUCCUCCGCCAGGUCCCGCUCCCUCCUCCACCUCCUCGCCUUCUCCCUCUCCUCUUCCCAAUCGCCUUCCCCGUCCCGUUCCCCUUCCCCCACCGCCGCGGCCCCCAACCAUGCCCACCAGGCCUAGCAGAAGCGCUGCGCGGGAGCAGGGGAAGCUGACGGAGCACUGGGAGAUGGUGGUCAGCGCGUUGCCGUUUGGCUCGUUCCUCGCGCUGGGGUGGAGGUCAGCGGAGCAGCAGCGCGAGGGCCUGGAAAUCCAUCCACUUCCGCAUCUGCUCCAGCGACAGGGCCGAGGCGGUCCUCUCCCUCCUUCGACGGCACGGCUUCCCGGAUGCGCACAUCACCCGUUUGCUCCGCAUCGACUCGCGCAUACAUCUGCACCUGGGAGGCGGCGGCGGGGAUGAGGCUGCUGUCAAACUGGGUGGUGCGGUCGGAGAUCAGGCCCAGCGACCACAUCUGCACCUGGGAGGCGGCGACGGUGAUGGCGACGGCGCCAAGCGAGAUGGAGGCAUCCUCCCUCUGCUUCAGCCCCGCAGGGCAGCUCCGGGUCGGAACGAAGCUUGACAAGGGGGCGAUGAGCACGACCACGGCGGCGGUACCUCAUCGCCUCUUCCCAAAGCAACGGCGCCUCCCUCUCCUCAGAUCCGCCACCGUCCCCCUCACCUCAGCUCGCAGAAAUGACAGGCGUGGUCAGAUCCACGGGUUCGAUGCUGAGGUAAUGCCCCGCGGAUCCCGAUCCCCACCUGGCCUUGGCCCCAGACGCUAAUUCUUGCUGCUGGCUGUGCGCGGUUGGGCUAGUUCUUGCGUGCUGCAAGCUCGAUUGAGGGGUUUGAGCUGAGGCAGGCCUUUCUCGAGCUCGCGCAGAUGGACCUUGGCCAUCAGAGCUGCUAAAUUUGGGUGCUUAUUUCCGUGUGGUUGCUUGUAAAAUGCAGGGUAGUAGUACUAGUAGCUUGCCUAGCCAUGAUUUCAUAAUUUAUAGUAUACCAUGAUACUGUGAUGUUGGGUGUUUUAGUGGAGUAUUGUGUAAUAUAACAUCGUAGAUUCCGGAAUGGAUCAUCUCUAACUGCAAUUCAAGGCCCAGGUGGCAUGUUUUAGCUAUGACAGAUAGUUUGCAGAUGGAGGAAAGCAAGAUAUGAUUUAUAUAUUCAGAUAUGGCAAGUGUUUGUUGUAUUGCAACUGUUGCUUUUGCCUUUAAUAUCUUACCUUCUGAGAUGUUGUGCUCUUUAUAAUGUAUAUGACAGGUUCGACUGUGCUGAGAAAAGACCUCUGGCAACAUUUAUGCAAUGAAAAAACUCAAGAAUUCUGAUAGGGUUGUCUGGGGCCAUAUCAUCAGCAGUGGAGAGGAAAUGCCCCUGAGUUUCUUUACUUGGAUUCGGUUGGUGCCAUGCUGCUGGAUGUGGCAUUCGUGUGCUUAAUUUGUGGAAGAAGUAAAUGUAUAUUUGUGAUGUGUACUGUUGCUAUCAAAUUAAUGUAUCUAUGUAAUUCUUUGAAAUAUGCAAAUUUUGAGAUCUGUACAAUGAGCUUGUUGUUGUAAUUGGGCCUAAAAUAAUAUUUUCUUAAAUGGGUCGCCUUAAAA
Long non-coding RNA from Setaria italica (foxtail millet), 1596 nucleotides. RefSeq lists it as uncharacterized. The transcript is spliced from 2 exons. NCBI's taxonomy places the organism in Eukaryota, Viridiplantae, Streptophyta, Magnoliopsida, Poales, Poaceae. The record is from RefSeq and is a predicted model, not a curated record.